AGCAGCCGCGGUAAUUCCAGCUCCAAUAGCGUAUAUUAAAGUUGUUGCAGUUAAAAAGCUCGUAGUUGAAUUUCGGGAUCAAUAUGUUGGUCGUGCCUUGGUACGUACUGGCGUCAUUGGUUUCUACCUUCUGAAGAACCUCGAUGUCAUUAAUUUGGUGUCUUGGGGAAUCAGGACUGUUACUUUGAAAAAAUUAGAGUGUUUAAAGCAAGCUCACGCUUGAAUACAUUAGCAUGGAAUAAUGAAAUAGGACGUUUGAUUCUAUUUUGUUGGUUUCUAGGAUCGACGUAAUGAUUAAUAGGGAUAGUUGGGGGCAUUAGUAUUCAAUUGUCAGAGGUGAAAUUCUUGGAUUUAUUGAAGACUAACUACUGCGAAAGCAUUUGCCAAGGAUGUUUUCAUUAAUCAAGAACGAAAGUUAGGGGAUCGAAGACGAUCAGAUACCGUCGUAGUCUUAACCAUAAACUAUGCCGACUAGGGAUCGGAUGAUGUUAAUUUUUAAUGACUCAUUCGGCGCCUUAAC
This 520-nucleotide unclassified non-coding RNA is filed under the name uncultured Glomus. RNAcentral describes it as "SSU rRNA". It matches the Rfam family "Eukaryotic small subunit ribosomal RNA", at positions 569 to 1092 of the family's 1831-position model. The record is from RNAcentral. Lineage: Eukaryota; Fungi; Glomeromycota; Glomeromycetes; Glomerales; Glomeraceae.